Molecule: small nucleolar RNA, 133 nt
Filed under: Castor canadensis (American beaver)
Lineage: Eukaryota; Metazoa; Chordata; Mammalia; Rodentia; Castoridae
Description: Small nucleolar RNA SNORA1 (ENSCCNG00000003285.1)
Rfam family: Small nucleolar RNA SNORA1
About the family: ACA1 is a member of the H/ACA class of snoRNA that guide the sites of modification of uridines to pseudouridines.
Source: Rfam by way of RNAcentral
AGCCUCAUUCCCAAUAAAAAUGGGCACUGAUGAUCAGUGUUCAAAUUUGGUCAAUGUGGCUAAAUUAACACACAAGUCAUGCUUCCAUCACAGUAAGUGCCUUACAGUAGUGACAAUGAGACCUGUAACACUU